UACGUAGGGUGCAAGCGUUAAUCGGAAUUACUGGGCGUAAAGCGUGCGCAGGCGGUUAUGUAAGACAGAUGUGAAAUGCCCGGGCUUAACCUGGGAACUGCAUUUGUGACUGCAUGGCUAGAGUGUGUCAGAGGGGGGUAGAAUUCCACGUGUAGCAGUGAAAUGCGUAGAGAUGUGGAGGAAUACCGAUGGCGAAGGCAGCCCCCUGGGCCAAUACUGACGCUCAUGCACGAAAGCGUGGGGAGCAAACAGG
Molecule: ribosomal RNA, 253 nt
Filed under: uncultured bacterium
Lineage: Bacteria
Description: partial 16S ribosomal RNA
Rfam family: Bacterial small subunit ribosomal RNA
Source: RNAcentral